This is a long non-coding RNA of Lolium perenne, 3021 nucleotides long. RefSeq lists it as uncharacterized. The record is from RefSeq and is a predicted model, not a curated record. NCBI's taxonomy places the organism in Eukaryota, Viridiplantae, Streptophyta, Magnoliopsida, Poales, Poaceae.
UGCCGCCGUUCUGACCAAGACUGAACCUUUCCUAUUUUCCCAGCACGCUCUCUCUCUCUCUCUCCCGACCCCGUCCCAAUCUCCUGGCGGCGGCGCAGCGGCAGCCGGGCAGCGACGAGCUGGCGCCAGUGGCUACCGAGACUAGCGGCGGCAAGCGGCAGGUAGCGCCGCGAUGACGAGGUCAACACCCCGGGCGGCUGCCUCCACACCACAGGGAAAAUGAGACCAAGGGGAAAGAGAUCCCCUUUCCCUCGCCCCUCGGCGGUGCUGGCCGCUAUCACGCAUCCUACCUCCGCGUCGUCACCCACCCCUUCAACAUCAUGUCCUCGCGCCGGGAACUCGUCGGCGGCAUAACCCGGCUACGGCGGUCAUCAGGGAGAAGGACGACCUGCGCCUCCAGAUGUGCCUCCUCCGCAACAUGGUGGCUGGCCUGCUGAUGCUUCUCUCCUCCGGUGUUGGGGACGACGGGCUGCCGCUGCACGCCGAGCCCAAUGCGGCGGUGACGGCGAGGAUGGGUGGCGUCGGGUUCAUGAGGGCGCCCAACAGGGCUCAUGCAUCAGGGCAUAAAAGAAUGAGAAGGAGGGGGCGACCUGUCGACUAGCAUCUUUGACGGGGGGAUGAUAGUCCAGAUCAAACAGACAUGUGUUCCAUACUUCCAUGCAAGUGCUAGGAGGUAGGAGCAGUAAAUUUCCUUAUUAAGGUGCUGCCACAUAUAAUAUCAGAUUUAUCUAGCUAUACUCUUGGAUUCAAUCUUUGUAGAUGUUUGGUUUCUGUUUCUCAGAUGAGCUUGGUUAAUUUCUUCCUUGGUGGUGCUUCGAUCUGACAAUUCACAAGGACCCCGCCUCUCCUUUGUCCUCCUUAAUUUGUUUGUGCAAUGAAUGUUUUAUUUCGACAGUGAUUAUUUGUUUGUACAAUACAUGCUUUAGUCUUAAAAAUGAUUAGACUGAAUGAUGGUUGUUAUUUAUUUUUCCUUCGAGGCAUUAGGUUUCGUAUAAGCUGUGAAUGUAUAAAAAUUCAGAAUCUAUAGGAAGAUCGAUACAAAAAUAUUUAGAUGAUAUAUCAUUCUAUAUAUAUGUGCAUCUAUGGUGAUCAUUUGUUCUUCCGUUGUGUUUUUCUCAUUCGGUACUCUUGAAUUUAAUUUGCUGAUUGGUUCUCCAGACAUGAGUGCAGAUCUGGGGAGGUCUAGAAGAGGAAGAAGCUACAGUAGAAAAUUUAUUAAGAAGCUGCCAAAGAGUUGUUCUUGAGGGACACACGGCUGGCCUCGAAGAUGGACCUUCAUGUAUGCCCCAUCUAAACCGCAUCUCUAAUUUAUAGUACCACACAACAGCUUCAAGCAAACAACCCUGUGAGCUAGCCGAUCAUCAGAUGUAUUACCUAUCAAAUGCUUUGUAUAAAAUCUUGAGAAAUUAAAGUGAGUUAACUUCUACUUCCUCAAUAACAAUUUCAAUUGACUUUUCACAAUUCUGAUUACUGCUCCAACUUAUGUUGGAAGGCAGCCAAAUAUUAGGAGCCAAAAUGGAGCAAUUGUCUUCGACAUACUGGAAAUUCAUUGGAGUCCAGCCAUUAUAUUGAAAUGUUGCUAUCCCUUCAAGCUCUGUUUUCUGCUUCUGCCCCUGAUGAUUCUCAGGGUGUUGUUGUUGCACGACUGGUCUGAGUUGGAUCUUUGCUAUUUAGUUCCAUGUUUUAACCGACCAAUACUUAUGGGAGCUUACUAUGCAUUGGGUGUUAAAUAUAGAUUUCCUCUUCAUGAGCUAAUAUCUUUUGCCUGAAGUUCAGUUAUGUACUUGGCCAGAACUGCCACAUAAUACCUACGGUACAAUAGCAAAAAAGUGAUGGAGAGUUGGGUCUUGCUAUUUAGUACCAUGUUUUAACACACCACUUUUGCCAUGGGGGCUACUAUGCAUUGGGUGUAAAUUCCAUGCAGCGAAAGUUCAAUGUUUAAUAUAUUUUCUCUUUGUGUCUUUUAGUCUACAAUUUCUUUUAUCUUAUUGGAGAUGAAAGGCAGGUUCGCAAAGUCAAAUUAAAUAUAGCCAUGGUCAUGUUGCUAGAUUUUAGAAUUUUAUUUGAGACUUUAGCUUUCUGUGUUUGGUCCAUAGUGUUAGAUGUUCAUGAUAUGUACAUAAGACAGGCCAACUUAUAUUAAACCUUUACGAUUACUAGGACUUUCUUUUCUCUCUGUACUUUUCGACAUGCAUGUGAUGCAUUUCUUGAAGGAUUAAUCAUGUGAUAUUGUGGGUUUGCUCAGCUAUCUUCUCUUUACAUAUUUUGGGCUAAUCCUAUGGUACAAUAGCAUGGAAGUGUUGCUGUACUGUAAUUGGUUUCAGUUGUUUGUAUUGUGUUUCAAGACGUGAAGCCUUACCCCGGAGUUAUUUCUACAUCUCAGUGCGAAUUUCUUAUAGGCUCCAUGGGCAAUAUUUGAAAAAACACGUAAAUAUUUGGAAUGCAUAUUAGAACUUGAUGAGCUCAAGCUACCUACAUAUUUAAUGCUGAUAGCCUCUCACUUUCGUUUAGUUACUGAAGUACUGAGGUUGUACCUAAAGACGGUCUGGUUUGCGCCACCUACUGUUCUAUUAUAUUGCAAUAAAAGUUUGUUGCCCUUUUUUCUAUGUAUGAUAUGAUUUUGUAUCUACACUUUUUACAUCGUGUUUCUGCUUGCUAUUUUUUUUAUUUAUACUGUUUCCUAUUCUCCAGGUCAGUUCAUCAAUCUCUUGGCAUGAGCUCUUCAAUUGCUUCUUCGUAUUUGCCAUUGAAGUGACAUAGGUCAACAUACAGAAAUGCUGAAAUAGCAUGUGUUGUACAGUUUUAUGUGGAGACUUUCUAAUGUUCUAUAUCUUGUUGUAUAUAUAAUACGUUCUCUGUGCUUUACUACCUGAGGAUUCUCUCCAUGUUGUUCCUUUGGCUGCUCUACACAAUUAUAUUUUAUCAAACACAACAGUUAUGGCCAGUACUAUGUUGGAUUUGUGUGAAUUAUGUGUAGUUUACAUCACUUCAGCUAAAUGAAAGCUCUGUUUGUAUCUUCUA